GCUUUGCCCACGAUGCUCAUACUGUAAACAACACAGAUUAACUUUUUAUUUUUAUAACGUCGUUUUGGAAACAAUUGCCAAAACGAACGAAAAAGCCAAAAUGUCAUAAUAUAUGCACGAAUUUUCCAAACUGUUCGGCUGGGAAGAAGCCCUGGUUCAUCGUCGCUUCAGCUGAUGACACCGAACAUGGAAAGACUGAGACGGGCAAACCCCACUCCGUUGCCAGCAACAUUGCAUAACAAUAUUGCCCCCUAGAAAUGGCCAGUGUAUCAUUAGCCGUCACAUGCACAGCCUUUGGCACGGAAAAAACUCAGCUGGGAGAGUAAAAGUAUCCCGUUCAAUGGCGUUCCGUUUCAAGUUGUUGGCACAAAGACGUAUGAAUGCCACCAGGGCAAAGACAGACAGACAAAAGCCAAAGAGAAAUAUGCUGCUGAAAGAGACAAGAAGGAACUUGAAGACCAUGCCUUUGUAAAGAGACGGAAACUGGUACAAAAUACCAAAAAGGUGGACUGCAAAGCUAUAAUAAACAUCGCCCACGUUAUCCGCUUUCCUGAUUUUAAGAUUGAGGAAAGUACAGUGCGCUCUAAAAAGGAGGCCUCCCAAACUCUGAAGGCAGCACUAAGUGAAACGCCCAGCUCCGUGAAGGCAGAGGUUGUCUACUGCGUCAGGUUCCCCUCCCUCUCUGAGCACAGCUCACAUGCAGUUGUUGGCGAGGCAGCUCAUGUUAGGGAAGCUGUAGAUGCCAGGCUGAGAGAGAAGAUUGAGCAGCUGACUCUGUCUGGUGUGAGAAAGAUGACUGAAAUGAAGUGUCAUCUGAACACCUUUGUAGUGGAAGAGCUUUUCCAUGGAGAGCAGCCCCCUCCACCUACUCGCAGGCGCUAUUACCCUACUGACAGUGACAUAAGAAAUGUCAUGUUUAAGACCAAGCGGGCCACCGGAGACUCCAACAUUGACCGUCCAUACGAAGGUCCAUCUGGAAGAGGAAAGAAGAGGUCCUCUAGGAAGCUGUUGCGGUUACGGAGGCAAUGUGCAGGAUAUCUUAAAGACAUCACAGAACUCACUUAUCAUCUCGAAGAGAACAGUACGUGACUGACCUGUCUUCACAGCUCAGAAGUGUGUUGCUGGAUAUGAAGGCCCAUGUUCCACAGGAUAAAGACCUUCCACUGACCUUUUCUCCAAGGAAGAGAAAAGCUGAGAUGGACAUGGACCUCAUUCCAACCAAGAGUGCAUCACACCCUUUCAUAGAUGGGUUAGAACAGCAUACAGAGGACAUAGUGAGUGUGGAUACCUUGUUGGCAUUGAGCCUAGGUUAGUAGGGCUGAGUGGAUAUCUUGUUGGCAUUGAGCCUAGGUUAGUAGGGCUGAGUGGAUAUCUUGUUGGCAUUGAGCCUAGGUUAGUAGGGCUGUGUGGAUACCUUGUUGGUAUUGAGCCUAGGUUAGUAGGGCUGAGUGGAUACCUUGUUGGUAUUGAGCCUAGGUUAGUAGGGCUGAGUGGAUACCUUGUUGGCAUUGAGCCUAGGUUAGUAGGGCUGAGUGGAUACCUUGUUGGUAUUGAGCCUAGGUUAGUAGGGCUGAGUGGAUACCUUGUUGGUAUUGAGCCUAGGUUAGUAGGGCUGCGUGGAUACCUUGUUGACAUUGAGCCUAGGUUAGUAGGGCUGAGUGGAUACCUUGUUGGUAUUGAGCCUAGGUUAGUAGGGCUGAGUGGAUACCUUGUUGGCAUUGAGCCUAGGUUAGUAGGGCUGAGUGGAUACCUUGUUGGUAUUGAGCCUAGGUUAGUAGGGCUGAGUGGAUAUCUUGUUGGCAUUGAGCCUAGGUUAGUAGUUCUGGGUGGAUACCUUGUUGGUAUUGAGCCUAGGUUAGUAGGGCUGAGUGGAUA
This is an RNA transcript of Oncorhynchus keta (chum salmon), 1875 nucleotides long. RefSeq lists it as uncharacterized. The transcript is spliced from 9 exons. The record is from RefSeq and is a predicted model, not a curated record. Lineage: Eukaryota; Metazoa; Chordata; Actinopteri; Salmoniformes; Salmonidae.